This 204-nucleotide ribosomal RNA is filed under the name Microdochium sp. RNAcentral describes it as "partial small subunit ribosomal RNA". It matches the Rfam family "Eukaryotic small subunit ribosomal RNA", at positions 1334 to 1562 of the family's 1831-position model. The record is from RNAcentral. Lineage: Eukaryota; Fungi; Ascomycota; Sordariomycetes; Xylariales; Microdochiaceae.
AACGAGACCUUAACCUGCUAAAUAGCCCGUAUUGCUUUGGCAGUACGCUGGCUUCUUAGAGCGACUAUCCGCUCAAGCGGAUGGAAGUUUGAGGCAAUAACAGGUCUGUGAUGCCCUUAGAUGUUCUGGGCCGCACGCGCGUUACACCGACGGAGCCAGCGAGUACUUCCUUGACAGAGAUGUCCGGGUAAUCCUGUGAAACUC